AACGCACCUUGCACCCUCUGGUAUUCCGGAGGGUAUGCCUGUCUGAGUGUCUAUAACAAUCUCGUCCCAAGGGGUAACCUGAGGGGUCGGAGUUGGGUGCUGCCUCGCAUGAGGCUCGCCUCAAAUGGAUCGGUGGCGGAACGCCCCAACCUCGCGUGAUACGUUUCGCUUGGGUGGGUGUCGGGAAGCUUCCUUGAAACCGCCACGCCCUGCGUGGAUCUAAAGGUUGACCUCAGAUCAGGUAGGACUACCCGCUGAACUUAA
This 264-nucleotide unclassified non-coding RNA is filed under the name uncultured fungus. RNAcentral's name for it is "partial contains 5.8S ribosomal RNA, internal transcribed spacer 2, and large subunit ribosomal RNA". The stretch from base 1 to 52 matches the Rfam family "5.8S ribosomal RNA", at positions 103 to 154 of the family's 154-position model. Lineage: Eukaryota; Fungi. The record is from RNAcentral.